GCCCCAGUGGCCUAAAGGAUAAGGCACUGGGCCUCCUAAGCCAGGGAUUGUGGGGUUCGAGUCCCGUCUGGGGUGA
RNAcentral lists this transfer RNA (76 nucleotides) under Merluccius polli (Benguela hake). RNAcentral describes it as "tRNA-Arg". It matches the Rfam family "tRNA". From Rfam's summary of the family: Transfer RNA (tRNA) molecules are approximately 80 nucleotides in length. Their secondary structure includes four short double-helical elements and three loops (D, anti-codon, and T loops). Further hydrogen bonds mediate the characteristic L-shaped molecular structure. tRNAs have two regions of fundamental functional importance: the anti-codon, which is responsible for specific mRNA codon recognition, and the 3' end, to which the tRNAs corresponding amino acid is attached (by aminoacyl-tRNA synthetases). tRNAs cope with the degeneracy of the genetic code in two manners: having more than one tRNA (with a specific anti-codon) for a particular amino acid; and 'wobble' base-pairing, i.e. permitting non-standard base-pairing at the 3rd anti-codon position. The record is from RNAcentral. Lineage: Eukaryota; Metazoa; Chordata; Actinopteri; Gadiformes; Merlucciidae.